This is a long non-coding RNA of Parasteatoda tepidariorum (common house spider), 515 nucleotides long. RefSeq lists it as uncharacterized. The record is from RefSeq and is a predicted model, not a curated record. Lineage: Eukaryota; Metazoa; Arthropoda; Arachnida; Araneae; Theridiidae.
UAUUAUUUUUGCUCUUUUUCAGACGUCAUUCCUGGUUCAACUGUGAAACUCUACCGUAAAGGAAAGAGAGUGAAAAAGUUUGAAGUUGCUGUCGCUAAUGAUACUGUCACCAUUACCUUCAAAAAACAUAAAUUGAGUGACAGUGGAAUAUACCAUCUCGCUUUGUGUCACAACAACAACGAAGACAGCGUACUGUUGAAUUUGUCCUUCCACAGAAUGAUCAAAAAGAAGAUCGAUUUCUACUCUCACUUGCCAAAACCAAAAGGUGAGAAAUAUUGGAACUUCUUCGAGAACAAGGGCAAAUUUUACGGAUAUCAGAAGCGAUUCAACCUUUAGGUUGAAAAUGAGGAAAUGCCGAAAAAUGUCUAAGAAGACAUACAGUCUAAGAAGACGUUUGUACAUAUGUUGAUGAUUUAUGUUAUUAUUUAUUCUUAUUUAUUCCUAUUUAUUCUUAUUUAUUCAUAUAUAUCCUGAGUUGCACUGUGCGCCCAAAAUUUUUUGUACAUAAUAAAACC